RNAcentral lists this transfer RNA (71 nucleotides) under Cordylochernes scorpioides. RNAcentral's name for it is "tRNA-Gly". It matches the Rfam family "tRNA". Rfam says of the family: Transfer RNA (tRNA) molecules are approximately 80 nucleotides in length. Their secondary structure includes four short double-helical elements and three loops (D, anti-codon, and T loops). Lineage: Eukaryota; Metazoa; Arthropoda; Arachnida; Pseudoscorpiones; Chernetidae. The record is from RNAcentral.
GCAUCGGUGGUUCAGUGGAAGAAUGCUCGCCUGCCACGCGGGCGGCCAGGGUUCGAUUCCCGGCCGAUGCA